Molecule: ribosomal RNA, 601 nt
Filed under: Cleptelmis sp. FC_E13
Lineage: Eukaryota; Metazoa; Arthropoda; Insecta; Coleoptera; Elmidae
Description: SSU rRNA
Rfam family: Eukaryotic small subunit ribosomal RNA
Source: RNAcentral
AGUCAUAUGCUUGUCUCAAAGAUUAAGCCAUGCAUGUCUCAGUACAAGCCGAAUUAAGGUGAAACCGCGAAAGGCUCAUUAAAUCAGUUAUGGUUCCUUAGAUCGUACCCACAAUUACUUGGAUAACUGUGGUAAUUCUAGAGCUAAUACAUGCAAACAGAGCUCCGACCGGAGACGGAAGGAGCGCUUUUAUUAGAUCAAAACCAAUCGGCGUCGGGCUCGCUCGUCGUCGUACAACUUGGUGAAUCUGAAUAACUUUCUGCUGAUCGCAUGGUCUCGCACCGGCGACGCAUCUUUCAAAUGUCUGCCUUAUCAACUGUCGAUGGUAGGUUCUGCGCCUACCAUGGUUGUAACGGGUAACGGGGAAUCAGGGUUCGAUUCCGGAGAGGGAGCCUGAGAAACGGCUACCACAUCCAAGGAAGGCAGCAGGCGCGCAAAUUACCCACUCCCGGCACGGGGAGGUAGUGACGAAAAAUAACGAUACGGGACUCAUCCGAGGCCCCGUAAUCGGAAUGAGUACACUCUAAACCCUUUAACGAGGAUCAAUUGGAGGGCAAGUCUGGUGCCAGCAGCCGCGGUAAUUCCAGCUCCAAUAGCGUAU